Molecule: ribosomal RNA, 253 nt
Filed under: uncultured bacterium
Lineage: Bacteria
Description: partial 16S ribosomal RNA
Rfam family: Bacterial small subunit ribosomal RNA
Source: RNAcentral
UACGAAGGGAGCUAGCGUUGUUCGGAAUCACUGGGCGUAAAGCGCACGUAGGCGGAUGUGUCAGUCAGGGGUGAAAUCCCGGAGCUCAACUUCGGAACUGCCCUUGAUACAGUACGUCUUGAGUCCGGAAGAGGUGGGUGGAAUUCCUAGUGUAGAGGUGAAAUUCGUAGAUAUUAGGAAGAACACCGGUGGCGAAGGCGGCCCACUGGUCCGGUACUGACGCUGAGGUGCGAAAGCGUGGGGAGCAAACAGG